ACUUUCAACUUGUUAUUUAUCUCCAUUUGCUCGACAAUGCAUACUAAUGCGUACACGUACGACACACAAGUAUAAAGGGAGACGUUUCCACGAUUAAUUCAGUCCUGGUUUGGUUUCCAGCGUAAAUAGGAUGUGCUUGUGCGAUGAAUUCUCCGAGCAGUGAUAAUAAUGAUACUAAUAAUCAGUCUGCAAGAAUGCUUCCAAUCGUUGUACUAAUAACAUAAAUGGAUAAUAUGUACAUCGCAGGAGACCAGUUGAAGGGUGAUGGUAUGCAAACGAUACAUACACAGAACAUGUCCAAUUCUGUAAUUGAAAGAAACAAAAAUAUUAUAACAAAAUUUCCGUUUCCCCUCUACAACAGAUUUCAUCAAAAUUGGCGUAUAGAUCCUGAAAUGUCGAGGCAUUAUUGGACCGCAUCUUUUUUCUUACCAGUCGGAUCGAUUUUCAUUCUUGGAGUAGUUGUUUUGCUAAUGGUAUUGUUCAAACGAUGUCCACAUACGGUAGCCGCGAUUGUUGCCGCAAUCCUUGCCAUCAUUGUCAUAUUGACAGCUUUAGUGUCACUUAAUCAUGAGCCAAUUUAUACUUAAUAUUGAAGCCAAAUAAUUACCGACUGUUAUAUUUAAUAAUUUUUUUCUCUUUUAUAUACAUUAAACUUUGAGAGUAUAGAACUGAUCGAAUUUUAUAACAAUUGUAUACAUUAAAUAAAUAC
Molecule: long non-coding RNA, 709 nt
Organism: Camponotus floridanus (Florida carpenter ant)
Lineage: Eukaryota; Metazoa; Arthropoda; Insecta; Hymenoptera; Formicidae
Exons: 4
Source: RefSeq, a predicted model, not a curated record